RNAcentral lists this ribosomal RNA (522 nucleotides) under uncultured bacterium. RNAcentral describes it as "bacterial SSU rRNA". It matches the Rfam family "Bacterial small subunit ribosomal RNA", at positions 8 to 518 of the family's 1533-position model. The record is from RNAcentral.
AGAGUUUGAUUCUGGCUCAGGAUGAACGCUAGCUACAGGCUUAACACAUGCAAGUCGAGGGGCAGCAUGGAGUUUGCUUGCAAACUCUGAUGGCGACCGGCGCACGGGUGAGUAACGCGUAUCCAACCUUCCCUAUAGUAGAGGAUAGCCCGGCGAAAGUCGGAUUAAUACUCUAUGUUUUCCGUUGCAGACAUCUAAGAUGGAACAAAGGCUUGCCGCUAUAGGAUGGGGAUGCGUCUGAUUAGAUAGUAGGCGGGGUAACGGCCCACCUAGUCGACGAUCAGUAGGGGUUCUGAGAGGAAGGUCCCCCACAUUGGAACUGAGACACGGUCCAAACUCCUACGGGAGGCAGCAGUGAGGAAUAUUGGUCAAUGGGCGAGAGCCUGAACCAGCCCAAGUAGCGUGAGGGACGACGGCCCUACGGGUUGUAAACCUCUUUUGGAGGGGAAUAAAGUGCGGGACAUGUCCCGUUUUGCAUGUACCCUCAGAAUAAGGACCGGCUAAUUCCGUGCCAGCCGCCGC